AUUGAACGCUGGCGGCGUGCCUAACACAUGCAAGUCGAGCGGUAACAGGUGUAGCAAUACAUGCUGACGAGCGGCGAACGGGUGAGUAAUGCUUCGGAAUCUGCCCAUGUAGUGGGGAAUAACCAGCCGAAAGGUUGGCUAAUACCGCAUACGACCCUUGCCCACAAGGCAAAGGUGAAAGCAGGGGAUCGCAAGACCUUGCGCUAUUGGAUGAGCCGAAGUCGGAUUAGCUAGUUGGUAGGGUAACGGGCCUACCAAGGCGACGAUCCGUAGCUGGUCUGAGAGGACGACCAGCCACACUGGGACUGAGACACGGCCCAGACUCCUACGGGAGGCAGCAGUGGGGAAUAUUGGACAAUGGGGCAACCUGAUCCAGCGACGCCGCGUGUGUGAAGAAGGCCUGCGGGUUGUAAAG
Molecule: ribosomal RNA, 415 nt
Filed under: uncultured bacterium
Lineage: Bacteria
Description: bacterial SSU rRNA
Rfam family: Bacterial small subunit ribosomal RNA
Source: RNAcentral